This 1747-nucleotide long non-coding RNA is filed under the name Anas platyrhynchos platyrhynchos (common mallard). RNAcentral describes it as "lncRNA (ENSAPLG00000025991.1)". Lineage: Eukaryota; Metazoa; Chordata; Aves; Anseriformes; Anatidae. The record is from RNAcentral.
UAAAAAUCAGGAUAGGACCAAAGUUUUCAGUUUCUCAAAUGUUGUUUGCCAGUUUCACAGAUAGGAUGGAAAGGCAGACAGUUAGCCAGAGGCUAUUUAAGUGGGUGUCUAAUUGCAUUAAGUUUGUUAUGAAUUAACCAGAUUAGAUCUACCAAUUCAGGCUAGAGAUCAUGCCACCACCAGAGUGCCGGCAGCCUCUGUGGCUUCCCUGAGAAGUGUGCCUAUCUCUGAAAUCUGGAGGAGACUGGGGAUCAGGCCAUACAUUUACACAACAUUAUUCUUUGGUCGACAAAUCAAAAUCUGAUGUUUGCAUUCACAGAGCUGUCCUGUAAUCAUUAUUUCAGGUAGUCUCCAAGUACUCUCACCUCCUACACAUCAGGUCAUUGCUUGUGAGUCAUGACAGCAGAAAACAUAAGGAUGUCAAGAAAGGAUGUCAACUAUGGAAAUUUCCAUUACGAGGGUUUCCCUUUGGCAGAAUAAAAUGGUUGCAGUAACCGUGUGGAUUCUCUGAGAUGUUGCCCAACCAGCUCUCCUUCUCACUGCUGUGUAGUUUUAUAACACCUGAAUUCUGUAACGGAAAAAAAAAAAAAAAGAAAUCACUCUUGGUGGAAUGGGUGGUGGAUAUUUAGGGUGCAGGUGCAGGCUCAGUGGAUACUGCUGGCCAAAAUAAUGCAAGCAUAAGUAUGUGAAAUUCAGGCAUGCCUAGAGUGAAGUAGAAAUGGACAAUGCAUCUGAAACAGCCAUGGUUACCCAGGAUUGCUUUGUGACUGGCAUCCCCCCGCCCUGCACGACCAUGCCAGAACUGUGGAUAAACAAUGGGAUACCCUGGCACUGGGAUGCAUUUUCAUAAUGAUGAAAAAUGAAGAUUUCACAGAUGGUGUGACUCAACCUCCCACUUCAAAGGUGUGAAGUAAGUGUGAAAGAAAAGGAGAUAAGAGUCUGUAGCUGGGACGCAUACACUACUUUGGGUACAGGGUCACUGAAGGCUAAUCCUUCUCCUCAUCGUCCAGGACAGGCCUACAGAAGAAGAGCAAGUUUUGAUCUUGUGGGUCAUCCCAUCACCAAAUGACUCUGUGGUGUGUGCCUGAGGCUGCUCAGCUAAACUCUGCUCUGUGCAUGAGCCUGUGGCAAACCACAGCUUAGCCCUCAGAGCAGGUCUUUGUUAUCACCUGGCAGCAUGACGUCCCACACAUAUCUUACUUUGCUGAAAGGGCAGAGUUAACAUUUAGGUCAUCUGAAGAGACAUCAGCCACAGUCAAAACCUUGUGGACCGUACUUCCUCCAUCACCCAUGGCUGAAAAAAGAGGCUGUGUCCAUACUGCAGGGGUGUGUAAGACCAACCCAACAUGUUAAUAUCAUUCAGUUUCAGGUGCCCGGCUACCUUCCUCUGCUUCUCCAUGUAUAUCUCCUGGGUGUAAUUCAGCACUCCUGACUUUAAAUAUAUAAUAUUAAAUUGUCUAAAUCUAAUCUACUUAUUUUGUCUUUGAGUGGAGAGAAAUAGGCACAUUCAGCUGGUGAUUCACCUACCCAUCUGAGAUACCUAUCUUGUAAAAGGAUGAUUUGCCUGUCUCCUACCAGUCACUGAAGAUAGAGCCUGAACAACUAACUUGUGAACUUACAGAGGUUUUAUGUUACAUGAGAUUAAUCCAUGCCUAGGCCCUUACUUGUGAACUAUUUGGCUGUGGAUCAUAGAUAUGAACAAAUAUUAUUACAAGAAAUAAAAUGUAGGUGAAAGCUUACCUUUACA